Molecule: ribosomal RNA, 119 nt
Filed under: Phoenicopterus ruber ruber
Lineage: Eukaryota; Metazoa; Chordata; Aves; Phoenicopteriformes; Phoenicopteridae
Source: RNAcentral
GCCUACAGCCAUACCACCCUGAGAACACCCGAGCUCCGCUGAUCUCAGAAGCUAAGCAGGGUCAGGCCUGCUUAGUACUUGGACGUUAGACUGCCUGGGAAUACCAGGUGCUGUAGGCU